RNAcentral lists this ribosomal RNA (497 nucleotides) under uncultured bacterium. Its description in RNAcentral is "partial 16S ribosomal RNA". It matches the Rfam family "Bacterial small subunit ribosomal RNA", at positions 28 to 507 of the family's 1533-position model. The record is from RNAcentral.
GAUGAACGCUGGCGGCGUGCCUAACACAUGCAAGUCGAGCGAACGGACGAGAAGCUUGCUUCUCUGAUGUUAGCGGCGGACGGGUGAGUAACACGUGGAUAACCUACCUAUAAGACUGGGAUAACUUCGGGAAACCGGAGCUAAUACCGGAUAAUAUUUUGAACCGCAUGGUUCAAAAGUGAAAGACGGUCUUGCUGUCACUUAUAGCUGGAUCCGCGCUGCAUUAGCUAGUUGGUAAGGUAACGGCUUACCAAGGCAACGAUGCAUAGCCGACCUGAGAGGGUGAUCGGCCACACUGGAACUGAGACACGGUCCAGACUCCUACGGGAGGCAGCAGUAGGGAAUCUUCCGCAAUGGGCGAAAGCCUGACGGAGCAACGCCGCGUGAGUGAUGAAGGUCUUCGGAUCGUAAAACUCUGUUAUUAGGGAAGAACAUAUGUGUAAGUAACUGUGCACAUCUUGACGGUACCUAAUCAGAAAGCCACGGCUAACUACGUG